AGCAUCCCUUGGAGUACCCUGCUCAGAGACUGGCACAAAGGGAGUGGGUAUCGUUGUUGAACAGGAAAAAAUAAGAUCCUGUUGGAGCUUCGGCCCUGAUGACUUAUGCAUCUGGAACGUUCCAUGGGAUGGAGAACGACCGGGCAGGGUGGACUGCUGAGGACACAGAGCUGACCCAACAGACACCUGAUCUGACGGGAGCAAGUCCUACAGAACCCGCGCUGGAGAGAUUUUGGCGAUCACCCAGCCGCAGUUCACCACCCUGGCUGCACCUAGAUGCACCUGGGAGCUUAAAAAAAUAUUCGUUUCUGGAUUCCAUCCCUGGGGGUUUAAUUCAAGUGGUCUGGGGUAGAACUCCUUCUGAAGUUCUAUGAGAAAGAAGAGCUAAAUGUCACCCAUGACUGCAGACGUCCCUGGGGCCUCAAAGUCAGUGCAAGAGAUGAAACAGCACCUGCAGGCU
Balaenoptera musculus (blue whale) is the source of this 460-nucleotide long non-coding RNA. RefSeq lists it as uncharacterized. The transcript has 3 exons. Lineage: Eukaryota; Metazoa; Chordata; Mammalia; Artiodactyla; Balaenopteridae. The record is from RefSeq and is a predicted model, not a curated record.